UGAGGAAUAUUGGUCAAUGGGGGCAACCCUGAACCAGCCAAGUCGCGUGAAGGAUGAAGGUCUUAUGGAUUGUAAACUUCUUUUAUACAGGAAUAAAUUGGGGGACGUGUCCCCUUUUGCAUGUACUGUAUGAAUAAGGAUCGGCUAACUCCGUGCCAGCAGCCGCGGUAAUACGGAGGAUCCGAGCGUUAUCCGGAUUUAUUGGGUUUAAAGGGUGCGCAGGCGGGAUGUUAAGUCGGCGGUGAAAUUUUGCAGCUCAACUGUAAAAGUGCCGUCGAUACUGGCUUCCUUGAGUGUAGAUGAAGUAGGCGGAAUUUGUGGUGUAGCGGUGAAAUGCUUAGAUAUCACGAGGAACUCCGAUUGCGCAGGCAGCUUACUAAACUACAACUGACGCUCAUGCACGAAGGCGUGGGGAUCAAACA
This 422-nucleotide ribosomal RNA is filed under the name uncultured bacterium. RNAcentral's name for it is "bacterial SSU rRNA". It matches the Rfam family "Bacterial small subunit ribosomal RNA", at positions 355 to 774 of the family's 1533-position model. The record is from RNAcentral.